RNAcentral lists this ribosomal RNA (543 nucleotides) under uncultured Acidobacteriota bacterium. Its description in RNAcentral is "bacterial SSU rRNA". It matches the Rfam family "Bacterial small subunit ribosomal RNA", at positions 338 to 872 of the family's 1533-position model. Lineage: Bacteria; Pseudomonadati; Acidobacteriota. The record is from RNAcentral.
CCUACGGGAGGCAGCAGUAGGGAAUUGUUCGCAAUGGGCGCAAGCCUGACGUCGCAACGCCGCGUGGAGGAUGAAGAUCUUCGGGUUGUAAACUCCUGUCGAGCGGGAAGAACAGCAUGCGGGUUAAUACCCCGCGGKCCUGACGGUACCGCUAGAGGAAGCCCCGGCUAACUCCGUGCCAGCAGCCGCGGUAAUACGGAGGGGGCAAGCGUUGUUCGGAAUUACUGGGCGUAAAGGGCUCGUAGGCGGCCACCYAAGUCKGWCGUGAAAUCCCUCGGCUCAACCGGGGAASUUCGUCSGAUACUGCUUGGCUUGAAGCCGGGAGAGGGAUGCGGAAUUCCAGGUGUAGCGGUGAAAUGCGUAGAUAUCUGGAGGAACACCSGUGGCGAAGGCGGCAUCCUGGACCGGUCUUGACGCUGAGGAGCGAAAGCCAGGGUAGCAAACGGGAUUAGAUACCCCGGUAGUCCUGGCCSUAAACGAUGAAUGCUWGGUGUGGCGGGUAUCGAUCCCUGCCGUGCCGGAGCUAACGCAUUAAGCAUCCGC